GUGCCAGCCGCCGCGGUAAUACGGAGGAUCCAAGCGUUAUCCGGAAUCAUUGGGUUUAAAGGGUCCGUAGGCGGCCUUAUAAGUCAGUGGUGAAAUCUCCCAGCUCAACUGGGAAACUGCCAUUGAUACUGUAGGGCUUGAAUUAUUAGGAAGUAACUAGAAUAUGUAGUGUAGCGGUGAAAUGCUUAGGUAUUACAUGGAAUACCAAUUGCGAAGGCAGGUUACUACUAAUAUAUUGACGCUGAUGGACGAAAGCGUGGGUAGCGAACAGGAUUAGAAACCCCGGUAGUCC
This 292-nucleotide ribosomal RNA is filed under the name uncultured prokaryote. Its description in RNAcentral is "partial 16S ribosomal RNA". It matches the Rfam family "Bacterial small subunit ribosomal RNA", at positions 505 to 796 of the family's 1533-position model. The record is from RNAcentral.